This 270-nucleotide ribosomal RNA is filed under the name uncultured archaeon. RNAcentral describes it as "partial 16S ribosomal RNA". It matches the Rfam family "Archaeal small subunit ribosomal RNA", at positions 477 to 747 of the family's 1478-position model. The record is from RNAcentral.
CAGCCCCUCGAGUGGUGGGGAUGAUUAUUUGGCCUAAAGCGUCCGUAGCCGGCCAUGUAAGUCUCCCGUUAAAUCCAGCGUCUCAAGCGUUGGACUGCGGGAGAUACUGCAGGGCUAGAGAGUGGGAGAGGUCAGCGGUAUUCUGGGGGUAGGGGCGAAAUCCUUUGAUCCCCGGAGGACCACCAGUGGCGAAGGCUGCUGACUAGAACACGUCUGACGGUCAGGGACGAAAGCUGGGGUAGCGAACCGGAUUAGAUACCCGAGUAGUCC